RNAcentral lists this ribosomal RNA (541 nucleotides) under uncultured bacterium. RNAcentral's name for it is "bacterial SSU rRNA". It matches the Rfam family "Bacterial small subunit ribosomal RNA", at positions 355 to 896 of the family's 1533-position model. The record is from RNAcentral.
UGAGGAAUAUUGGUCAAUGGGCGCAAGCCUGAACCAGCCAUGCCGCGUGCAGGAAGACGGCCCUAUGGGUUGUAAACUGCUUUUUUACGGGAAUAAUGGUUUCUACGUGUAGAGAUUUGAAGGUACCGUACGAAUAAGCAUCGGCUAACUCCGUGCCAGCAGCCGCGGUAAUACGGAGGAUGCAGGCGUUAUCCGGAUUUAUUAGGUUUAAAGGGUGCGCAGGCGGCCCGGUAAGUCAGUGGUGAAAGUUUGCAGCUUAACUGUAAAAUUGCCAUUGAAACUGUCGGGCUUGAAUUUGGUAGAGGUAGGCGGAAUGUGUAGUGUAGCGGUGAAAUGCUUAGAUAUUACACAGAACACCAAUUGCGAAGGCAGCUUACUAUGCCAAUAUUGACGCUGAGGCACGAAAGCGUGGGGAGCGAACAGGAUUAGAUACCCUGGUAGUCCACGCCGUAAACGAUGAUUACUGGUUGUGUGCGAUACACAGUGCGCGACUGAGCGAAAGCAUUAAGUAAUCCACCUGGGGAGUACGUUCGCAAGAAUG